UACGGAGGGUGCAAGCGUUAUCCGGAUUCACUGGGUUUAAAGGGAGCGUAGGUGGGGUGGUAAGUCAGUGGUGAAAUCUCCGGGCUUAACUCGGAAACUGCCGUUGAUACUAUCAUUCUUGAAUAUUGUGGAGGUAAGCGGAAUAUGUCAUGUAGCGGUGAAAUGCUUAGAUAUGACAUAGAACACCGAUAGCGAAGGCAGCUUGCUACACAAUUAUUGACACUGAGGCCCGAAAGCGUGGGGAUCAAACAGG
This 253-nucleotide ribosomal RNA is filed under the name uncultured bacterium. Its description in RNAcentral is "partial 16S ribosomal RNA". It matches the Rfam family "Bacterial small subunit ribosomal RNA", at positions 524 to 776 of the family's 1533-position model. The record is from RNAcentral.